RNAcentral lists this ribosomal RNA (497 nucleotides) under uncultured bacterium. RNAcentral describes it as "partial 16S ribosomal RNA". It matches the Rfam family "Bacterial small subunit ribosomal RNA", at positions 28 to 507 of the family's 1533-position model. The record is from RNAcentral.
GAUGAACGCUGGCGGCGUGCCUAAUACAUGCAAGUCGAGCGAACGGACGAGAAGCUUGCUUCUCUGAUGUUAGCGGCGGACGGGUGAGUAACACGUGGAUAACCUACCUAUAAGGCUGGGAUAACUUCGGGAAACCGGAGCUAAUACCGGAUAAUAUUUUGAACCGCAUGGUUCAACAGUGAAAGACGGUCUUGCUGUCACUUAUAGAUGGAUCCGCGCUGCAUUAGCUAGUUGGUAAGGUAACGGCUUACCAAGGCAACGAUGCAUAGCCGACCUGAGAGGGUGAUCGGCCACACUGGAACUGAGACACGGUCCAGACUCCUACGGGAGGCAGCAGUAGGGAAUCUUCCGCAAUGGGCGAAAGCCUGACGGAGCAACGCCGCGUGAGUGAUGAAGGUCUUCGGAUCGUAAAACUCUGUUAUUAGGGAAGAACAUAUGUGUAAGUAACUGUGCACAUCUUGACGGUACCUAAUCAGAAAGCCACGGCUAACUACAUG